RNAcentral lists this ribosomal RNA (301 nucleotides) under uncultured bacterium. RNAcentral describes it as "partial 16S ribosomal RNA". It matches the Rfam family "Bacterial small subunit ribosomal RNA", at positions 509 to 807 of the family's 1533-position model. The record is from RNAcentral.
CAGUCGCCGCGGUAAAACGAAGGGGGCUAGCGUUGUUCGGAUUUACUGGGCGUAAAGGGCGCGUAGGCGGACUGAUAAGUCAGGGGUGAAAUCCCAAGGCUCAACCUUGGAACUGCCUUUGAUACUGUUUGUCUUGAGUUCGAGAGAGGUAAGUGGAACUGCGAGUGUAGAGGUGAAAUUCGUAGAUAUUCGCAAGAACACCAGUGGCGAAGGCGGCUUACUGGCUCGAAACUGACGCUGAGGCGCGAAAGCGUGGGGAGCAAACAGGAUUAGAUACCCCAGUAGUCCCUGUCUCUUAUAC